AAAGAGUGCGUAAUAGCUCACUGGUCGAGUGAAUGUGCGCCGAAAAUGUACCGGGGCUAAACCACACACCGAAGUCUUGGGAUUGCGUAAGCAAUCGGUAGGGGAGCAACGAAUACGGGCUGAAGCGGAAUCGUGAGAGACCGUGGACUGUAUUGGAGAGAGAAUGCCGGCAUGAGUAGCGAGAGCAAAGUGAGAAUCUUUGCCGUCGAAAGCCUAAGGUUUCCUGAGGAAGGUUCGUCCUCUCAGGGUAAGUCGGGGCCUAAGCCGAGGACAAAAGUCGUAGGCGAUGGACAACAGGUUGAUAUUCCUGUACCACGACAAUUCGUUUGACUGACGCAGUGACACAGAAGGAUAGGCAGAGCGGGGCGAUGGUAGACCCCGUCCAAGCGGUGAGGCUGGUGCGUAGUGAAGUACGCGUACUAAGGCUGGGCCGUAAUGGGGACCGAAAAUAAGUAGGGAAGCUGUUGAAUUCACGCUGGCAAGAAAAGCUGCUAAGGAGAAUUGUGGUGCCCGUACCGCAAACCGACACAGGUGGGCGAGGAGAGAAUCCUAAGACGAACGGGAGAACCCUUGUUAAGGAACUCGGCAAAAUGACCCCGUAACUUCGGGAUAAGGGGAGCCUCGAAAGAGGCCGCAGAGAAUAGGCCCAAGCGACUGUUUAGCAAAAACACAGGUCUGUGCGAAGUAGAGAUACGACGUAUACGGGCUGACGCCUGCCCAGUGCCGGAAGGUUAAGGGGAAGUGUUAGGGCAACCGAAGCACGGAACUUAAGCCCCGGUGAACGGCGGCCGUAACUAUAACGGUCCUAAGGUAGCGAAAUUCCUUGUCGGGUAAGUUCCGACCCGCACGAAUGGCGUAACGACUUGGGCACUGUCUCAACAAGGGACCCGGCGAAAUUGUAGUAUGUGUGAAGAUGCACAUUACCCGCGACUGGACGGAAAGACCCCGUAGAGCUUUACUGUAGCUUGGCAUUGGAUUUUGGUAACAUAUGCACAGAAUAGGUGGGAGGCUAUGAAGCAGUGACUCCGGUCAUUGUGGAGCCAACUUUGGGAUACCACUCUUGUGUUACUGAGGUUCUAACGAACGGCCGUGAUCCGGCGUUCGGACAGUGCCAGGUGGGCAGUUUGACUGGGGCGGUCGCCUCCCAAAGAGUAACGGAGGCGUUCAAAGGUUUCCUCAGAAUGGUUGGAAACCAUUCGAAGAGUGCAAAGGCAGAAGGGAGCCUGACUGCGAGACCGACAGGUCGAGCAGAUACGAAAGUAGGACUUAGUGAUCCGGCGGUAUGAGAGUGGAAUUGCCGUCGCUCAACGGAUAAAAGCUACC
Molecule: ribosomal RNA, 1323 nt
Filed under: bioreactor sludge metagenome
Description: bacterial LSU rRNA
Rfam family: Bacterial large subunit ribosomal RNA
Source: RNAcentral